RNAcentral lists this ribosomal RNA (429 nucleotides) under Actinomycetes bacterium. Its description in RNAcentral is "Actinobacteria bacterium partial 16S ribosomal RNA". It matches the Rfam family "Bacterial small subunit ribosomal RNA", at positions 355 to 776 of the family's 1533-position model. Lineage: Bacteria; Bacillati; Actinomycetota; Actinomycetes. The record is from RNAcentral.
UAGGGAAUCUUCCGCAAUGGGCGAAAGCCUGACGGAGCAACGCCGCGUGAGUGAUGAAGGUCUUCGGAUCGUAAAACUCUGUUAUUAGGGAAGAACAAAUGUGUAAGUAACUAUGCACGUCUUGACGGUACCUAAUCAGAAAGCCACGGCUAACUACGUGCCAGCAGCCGCGGUAAUACGUAGGUGGCAAGCGUUAUCCGGAAUUAUUGGGCGUAAAGCGCGCGUAGGCGGUUUUUUAAGUCUGAUGUGAAAGCCCACGGCUCAACCGUGGAGGGUCAUUGGAAACUGGCAAACUUGAGUGCAGAAGAGGAAAGUGGAAUUCCAUGUGUAGCGGUGAAAUGCGAAGAGAUAUGGGGGAACACCAGUGGCGAAGGCGACUUUCUGGUCUGUAACUGACGCUGAUGUGCGAAAGCGUGGGGAUCAAACAGG